This 73-nucleotide transfer RNA is filed under the name Nanobdellota archaeon. RNAcentral describes it as "tRNA-His". It matches the Rfam family "tRNA". From Rfam's summary of the family: Transfer RNA (tRNA) molecules are approximately 80 nucleotides in length. The record is from RNAcentral. Lineage: Archaea; Nanobdellati; Nanobdellota.
ACGGCAGUGGUGUAGUGGUUAACAUUCAAGCCUGUGGAGCUUGAGAUCGCGAGUUCGAUUCUCGCCUGCCGCC